AAUCAAAUAAUAACCCUAACACGUCAUUGAAUCCUUUCGAUGAUCUCCCAUCUUCAUCGUUUCAUCUUCUUCAACGGAUCGUCGCAGUAAGGUUUACAACUUCUGGCCUUUUCCGCUUCCUCCUUCAUCUUCAUCCCCUUUCAGCUUCCCUUACAAUUGUAAAUCACCAUUCAAAUUCUCCUCCUCCCACUAAAUUUUACAUUCAUCAAAUCGAAGACAACAACUCCACAAAUUACUGUUCGACUUCCCCUCUCCAACCUAUAUAUAAUACUCCAAUGUCACUUUGUUGUUUAUAUCUAUUAAUGGUUUUUGUGUUGGUAGAAUCAGGAGUUGAUAUCAAUCUCUGGAACUACCGUAGACAGAUAAUAGCUCUCUAUAGACUACUUUGAUGCAAGCUCUCUACCGUCCAGCAGCGAGAGAUCCUCAAGCUCUGCUCCUCAUUUGGAGAUCAAAGAAGAAGAUCUUUAGUCUGCCCCGAGAAAGAUCCGUAAACUUCAAUCCGUUUUAAAAGUCUGCCUUUCUGGUUUGAGCUUAAAAUAUGAUGAUAUUACAAGAAUAGAAGGGAUUAAGCGGCCUGAGCUCUUAUCAGCCCGAUCUAGCAUGACAGCUAAUGAAAGGAAGCUCGCAGAUGUUUGUGCGUUAAAUGCCAAUGAAGUGACAAAGUGAAUGAGCUGCUUAGAGUGUUUGGAGCACCGAGUGGUGCGAGAAUCUAUUGGGCUAGAGGGGAACCUCUUAGGAAAAAGCAGCACUCAAAACCGAGUGUUAUGGUCAUGGCAUUUCAUGAAAGCGAUGAGGAGAUACGGAGAGUUCCGGAGUUUGGUGGAGAAGCUACCGGGAAAGAAAUUUCGGGACGAGAAUCUGGAUCGGGACCGGUCAGGACCAGACACAAAUAACGGUCGGAGGAGAGGGUCAAACGAAGCGAGUGAGGACUCUGGCUGAGAAGAGACCAAGCAGAUAAAGAGGUACCCAGUUUUUUACACUUUUUACCAUUAUUGUUUAGAGGGUGGUAAAUAAAGGUUGGUUGCGUGAUGGGGAUUGUUUGGUAGUUUUUUGUGAAUAAAAAACGUUUUGAGGAACAGAGUCUCAGCACAGCAGAGAGGAAGAAAGCUUACUUGGGUGAACUGGAAAACAGAGUGAACGACUUGGAGAACAGAAACUCUGAACUUGAAGGGAGACUUUCUACUUUGCAGAACGAGAACCUGAUGCUUAAACAAGUACGCUUUUUAUCUAUCCCGUUAGACUUCAAACAUAUCACAUUGCUGGAAUUAACCAUCAAUUUUCAAGCCGUAGGGACCCAUUCAUCGAAUUAAAUACUAAGUAGCCUAAGAUAAGCUUGAGAUUAGUUCACAAAUAUUUUUAGAUUUCCAAUGGUUCUUGGAAUACGCUCAUUGACUGUGAUCUGUGUGGAUGGUUCGUUCGUGUUAUGUAUUUGGUUUUGCUGUUCAAGUGGUGGUGAAGAUGAGAAUGCAAUGUUAUGAUUGAUAAGUUCUUACACUCUUCUGUUAUUGAUGAUAGCAAUAUCUGGACCCGAAUAGAAAGCAGUAACAUAAGCCAGUGUAUCACAUGACUGAGUUGCAGUCUCUCCUUUAUCCCCUCUUUCUCCAGGAACUCAGAGGUUCCUACCCCUUAUUGUGGUUAUUUUGUUAUAUGUGAGAAAAUUUACAGCAGGAUCAUGGGAAUGUGACAGAUGGAGAAGUGAACGAGUCCACCAUAGUUCAUCUUCUUAAUUCACGUAGCUUCUUUGGAAAAAUCAAAGGCUCCUGUACAGUUGCAAAGUUUGCGGAGAAGCCUAAGCGACUUCUGAAUUCAUUUGAUAGGCAAGAUUACAAGAGAAGUCCCUUUCUCAAUGAUCUAAGGCACCAAGGUUGAAGGAUUUUGAAAACAAGAGAGGUGAAGGUCAUUGCAUAUAAGUGUUUGCUGAGCUUAUGUGUUGGAAGAUCAACCAAUUACGUAUGCGCUCUCCAUAGGAUCUGAAAGGACGUCUGAAUAUGCAGUUUCAAGUUGAAGAAUGUUGCUGGUGGUCUUACAAGGAUAAUGGUAUAAAUUAGUUUCAACAGUUAUAUUUGUUUCCAUUUCUUGACCGAGAACUUAAAAAACAUAUUUGAUGAACAUACUGUAUAUAACUGUUUAUGGAAUUAAAAAUUAAUAAAUAAUUUCAUGAUA
Raphanus sativus (radish) is the source of this 2163-nucleotide long non-coding RNA. RefSeq lists it as uncharacterized. Lineage: Eukaryota; Viridiplantae; Streptophyta; Magnoliopsida; Brassicales; Brassicaceae. The record is from RefSeq and is a predicted model, not a curated record. The transcript has 4 exons.